Molecule: ribosomal RNA, 426 nt
Filed under: uncultured Pseudomonadaceae bacterium
Lineage: Bacteria; Pseudomonadati; Pseudomonadota; Gammaproteobacteria; Pseudomonadales; Pseudomonadaceae
Description: bacterial SSU rRNA
Rfam family: Bacterial small subunit ribosomal RNA
Source: RNAcentral
GGGGAAUAUUGGACAAUGGGCGAAAGCCUGAUCCAGCCAGGCCGCGUGUGUGAAGAAGGUGUUCGGAUUGUAAAGCCCUUUUGUUGGGAAAGAAAAGCAGCCGGCCAAUACCCGGUUGUUAUGACGGUACCCAAAGAAUAAGCACAGGCUAACUUCGUGCCAGCAGCCGCGGUAAUACGAAGGGUGCAAGCGUUAAUCGGAAUUACUGGGCGUAAAGCGCGCGUAGGUGGUUCGUUAAGUUGGAUGUGAAAGCCCCGGGCUCAACCUGGGAACUGCAUCCAAAACUGGCGAGCUAGAGUAUGGCAGAGGGUGGUGGAAUUUCCUGUGUAGCGGUGAAAUGCGUAGAUAUAGGAAGGAACACCAGUGGCGAAGGCGACCACCUGGGCUAAUACUGACACUGAGGUGCGAAAGCGUGGGGAGCAAACA